This 73-nucleotide transfer RNA is filed under the name Thermoplasmata archaeon. Its description in RNAcentral is "tRNA-Gln". It matches the Rfam family "tRNA". From Rfam's summary of the family: Transfer RNA (tRNA) molecules are approximately 80 nucleotides in length. Their secondary structure includes four short double-helical elements and three loops (D, anti-codon, and T loops). RNAcentral also lists the same sequence under 2 other names. The record is from RNAcentral. Lineage: Archaea; Methanobacteriati; Thermoplasmatota; Thermoplasmata.
AGCCCCGUAGUGUAGCGGCCAAGCAUCCGGGACUUUGGAUCCCGGGACGGCAGUUCGAAUCUGCCCGGGGCUA